Molecule: unclassified non-coding RNA, 322 nt
Filed under: Hevea brasiliensis (rubber tree)
Lineage: Eukaryota; Viridiplantae; Streptophyta; Magnoliopsida; Malpighiales; Euphorbiaceae
Source: RNAcentral
GGCUGUAUUCUCCAAGGAUAUAUGAACUUACCUUGACCAUUGUUUCAUGAAUGGCAGGCUUAUCAAGAUAUUCUCUGGAUUUCAAAGCUGCAUAAGGCUGAAGAUCUUCAUUAUUAGUAACAAACUGCACAACACGGAACCAGAUGUCAUCACUGACAAAAUCGCCGGCCUUGUCAAUUAAUUGAAGGAUGACAUCGACAUACCAUGACAGAUCAGGAGCAAACUUCUCUGCAAGAAUUGCUAUUUUAAGUGACAGUUCUUCACGCAUCACGAACUCCGCUGUACUGAGAUACUGUAAUAAUUCUUCUACUAUGUCCUUUGC